CCUAGGGAAGCGUUUUGUCCACGUCAGCAAAGCGCGCCCCUCAAGGACGCGAUUUCUGCUGACGUGGACAAAACGCUUCCCUGGGG
Non-coding RNA from Gossypium hirsutum (cotton), 86 nucleotides. The record is from Rfam. Lineage: Eukaryota; Viridiplantae; Streptophyta; Magnoliopsida; Malvales; Malvaceae.